This 379-nucleotide long non-coding RNA is filed under the name Aedes aegypti (yellow fever mosquito). RNAcentral describes it as "lncRNA AAEL025496". The record is from RNAcentral. Lineage: Eukaryota; Metazoa; Arthropoda; Insecta; Diptera; Culicidae.
GGCACCACUGCGCUCAACAACUGGGUUUUCUGCUGCGAAGUGACAUCCGAGAUGACAGGUUAUAUGACAGAUUAUGAAAAAGAAAGGGAAUUGGAAGUGAUCUUGAAAGCGUGCUAGAUUAUAUUUUCAUUAUUUGAGUGAAUUCGCUACUUUAUUGAUCUAAAUAACUAUUAUCAACGAUUUGUAAGUAAUAUAAUCAACCGCAUUUACUUUUGUAACACUAACGGAAUGAAUUCUUAGGUUCUAAGCGAAAUAGAGCGCAAAUUUAUUGUUCGGAAUUGGAAGAGGAAAAAGAAAACCAUUUAUGUGAGUGUUUUGAGCUACACUGUAAAAGGUUGCUGCAAAAAAGGAGUUUUGCUUUCACUCGUCCGAACAAACU